UUUUAUGGAGAGUUUGAUCCUGGCUCAGAGUGAACGCUGGCGGCGUGCCUAAUACAUGCAAGUCGAACGAUGAAGCUUCUAGCUUGCUAGAAGUGGAUUAGUGGCGCACGGG
This 112-nucleotide ribosomal RNA is filed under the name Campylobacter jejuni. Its description in RNAcentral is "partial 16S ribosomal RNA". It matches the Rfam family "Bacterial small subunit ribosomal RNA", at positions 1 to 106 of the family's 1533-position model. Lineage: Bacteria; Pseudomonadati; Campylobacterota; Epsilonproteobacteria; Campylobacterales; Campylobacteraceae. The record is from RNAcentral.